This 253-nucleotide ribosomal RNA is filed under the name uncultured bacterium. RNAcentral describes it as "partial 16S ribosomal RNA". It matches the Rfam family "Bacterial small subunit ribosomal RNA", at positions 524 to 776 of the family's 1533-position model. The record is from RNAcentral.
UACGUAGGUGGCAAGCGUUGUCCGGAAUUACUGGGUGUAAAGGGAGCGCAGGCGGGAAGCCAAGUCAGCUGUGAAAACUACGGGCUUAACUUGUAGACUGCAGUUGAAACUGGUUUUCUCGAGUGAAGUAGAGGUUGGCGGAAUUCCGAGUGUAGCGGUGAAAUGCGUAGAUAUUCGGAGGAACACCGGUGGCGAAGGCGGCCAACUGGCCUGUAACUGACACUGAGGCUCGAAAGCGUGAGGAGCAAACAGG